This 525-nucleotide ribosomal RNA is filed under the name Triticum aestivum (bread wheat). RNAcentral's name for it is "partial small subunit ribosomal RNA". The record is from RNAcentral. Lineage: Eukaryota; Viridiplantae; Streptophyta; Magnoliopsida; Poales; Poaceae.
AUGGCGGUGCCUCUGCUGAAGAAGGCGAUCGUGAAGAAGAGGGUGAAGCACUUCAAGAGGGCGCACAGCGACCGCUACAUCGGCCUCAAGCAAAGCUGGCGUAGGCCAAAGGGUAUCGACUCCCGUGUCAGGCGGAAGUUCAAGGGAUGCACCUUGAUGCCCAACAUCGGGUACGGUUCAGACAAGAAGACAAGGCACUACCUGCCCAACAAGUUCAAGAAGUUCGUUGUCCACAAUGUCUCUGAGCUGGAGCUGCUCAUGAUGCACAACAGGUAUGCAUUUCAAAACUACUCAUCAAGCUUGAUUGCUUAUGAGGAGAGCUGCAGCUAUCAUCUUCCAUGUCUAGUGCUCGAUCUUGCAGCGCUUGCUAAUGACUAUCAUCUUUCUGCAAACAGGACCUACUGUGCCGAGAUCGCACACAACGUGUCCACCCAGAAGCGCAAGGCGAUCGUGGAGCGUGCUGCGCAGCUCGACGUCGUGGUCACCAACAAGCUUGCUAGGCUCCGCAGCCAGGAGGACGAGUAA